UACAGAGGUGGCGAGCGUUAUUCGGAAUUAUUGGGCGUAAAGGGCGCGUAGGCGGCCCUGUAAGUCAACGGUGAAAUCCCUCGGCUCAACCGAGGACGUGCCGUUGAUACUGCAGGGCUCGAGGCCGGGAGAGGGUAGUGGAAUUCCCAGUGUAGCGGUGAAAUGCGUAGAUAUUGGGAGGAACACCGGUGGCGAAGGCGGCUACCUGGACCGGUUCUGACGCUGAGGCGCGAAAGCGUGGGGAGCAAAC
Molecule: ribosomal RNA, 250 nt
Filed under: uncultured bacterium
Lineage: Bacteria
Description: partial 16S ribosomal RNA
Rfam family: Bacterial small subunit ribosomal RNA
Source: RNAcentral